This 190-nucleotide ribosomal RNA is filed under the name uncultured bacterium. RNAcentral describes it as "partial 16S ribosomal RNA". It matches the Rfam family "Bacterial small subunit ribosomal RNA", at positions 114 to 306 of the family's 1533-position model. The record is from RNAcentral.
UACAUCCGGAACGUGCCCGAUCGUGGGGGAUAACUACUCGAAAGAGUGGCUAAUACCGCAUACGAUCUACGGAUGAAAGCGGGGGAUCGCAAGACCUCGCGCGGACGGAGCGGCCGAUGGCAGAUUAGGUAGUUGGUGGGAUAAAAGCUUACCAAGCCGACGAUCUGUAGCUGGUCUGAGAGGACGACCA